Molecule: long non-coding RNA, 3164 nt
Organism: Gasterosteus aculeatus aculeatus (three-spined stickleback)
Lineage: Eukaryota; Metazoa; Chordata; Actinopteri; Perciformes; Gasterosteidae
Source: Ensembl
GUGCGUGAUUUUAAAUGACCUAACUUGUACUGCAUCCCCUCGUCUCCGUGCAUUUGUAUCGACUUCGAUAACCCACGUAUAGUAUAUGACUAUAAUAGUAAUUAUACAUAUAGCAUAAAGUCACAACAUGGUGUCAGAAGACGGAGUCACGGAAUAAUUUGCGGAUGGUAUUUUAAAAGUUAGCUAAAAAAAAAGUGCUAGCACGUGCGAACAUGGAGCAGUUCAAGCCGCCACCACCGUUGAUACUUACUGGGAAUAUAGCUGAAAACUGGAGAAGAUGGGAACAACGUUUCCAGCUGUAUAUGAUCGCUUCAGGUGCGUUGGAUAAGGAAGAGACGGUUAAAAUAGCCAUUCUGCUGCAUACUGUCGGCGAGGAGGCGCUAGAAGUGUAUAACACGCUCAGCAUCAUCCCAGAAGGAGAUGAAGAAACAAUGGAGGAAGUUCUCCAAGCCUUCACGGACUACUGCAGCCCCCGAAAGAACGUGGUUUUCGAACGCCAUCAAUUCUGGCCACACGUGAUGUCAGCAGGAAUAUCGGUGGACAGAAGAGCAAAGACUGAGUUUGUCAGAAAUGAAGAUGACAUGAUUUGGGAUAAAUGAGUGUUUCGCAUAAACGAUAUUCGUCUGAAGGAGAGACUGUUGCGUGAUAAUGCGCUCACUUUGCGCGGAGCCAUGGACACGUGCAGAUCAGCAGAGCUCGCUAAGUGACAAAUACAAGCGAUGCAGACGUCACAGGUUGUCCAAGACACCUCAGUAGAUGCUUUAAGGAAAGCAACAGGGCAAACGUGCACGGGCAGCUGGAACAAGAGCAAAACCAGCAGCAAGAGGCACGUAACGACUGUCUGCCAUAAAUGUGGAAACAAGCGCGAGCCCCGUCAGUGCCCAGCUUAUGGUGCAGUGUGCCAUAAAUGUGGAGAGCUCACGUCCUGCCUCUGGUCCAGUCAUCCCCUGCAUCACUUGUCAGAAGGAAGUUCCCUUUUCAGAGGUGAAGCUCCACAGAUUGAGCUGCAAUGGGACACCCAUGCAGGAAAGAGAACAAGAGGGAGGCCAAAGGGAAGAAAAUGAUAGUGAGACAGCCCUAGUCAGUGACAGUGUUCCAGUGAGGUCUGAAACAUCAGCUGAGAGUGCAGUAGUUCCAGCAGUGAUUGUCAACGAGGAGUUGGAUCGCAAAGAAACAGUCGUUGUGACAGAUUUUGGGAAACCACUUAGAAUGAAGAUGGAUGUAAGGGAGUCUGAAGAGGACCGGGAACGGGAGCUUCUCUUAUUCUAUAAACAGCAGCAAGAAUGGGCAUGUCCUCUUCAUUGUACUCUGGUUGGUGAUGUUGCUGUUGGAGAGGGAGUGAUGCGGUACUUUAUGACAACAAUCAUAUCCAAACUCCAGUUUGGAUUCAGUCUAGAUCUUGGAGGAAUGGGCCGAACACUGCUAUUUGAGGGUGAACCUGACCAUCUUGUUCCAGCAGCAUCAGAGGCACUUAUUGAAAGCAACCUCUUCUGGGUUGCAGGAAGGAUGUUGGCCCACACCUUUCUGCAUGACGGUCCCCAUGUCACAGGAUUAAGUCCUGCUGUAAUUCAUGUACUGUUCAAUGGGGACCCUGAAAUGGCUACUGUUGUUGUUGAAGACUGUCCUGAUCUGCACAUCAGGAGCAUCAUAGAACUUUUAUGUAACCUAAAAGAAACUUUGCCAUGUAAAAAAUAUUGCUUGGGCAGAUAUAAUAAAUAGUAUGGUCCUUAUUCUAUCUUGAACAAGAAGAACUUGUUCUUGGAACAGAAAGAAACAGUUUCAGAUCUUUCCAUGUCUUGGGAUCAUCCGGCAGUCACCAAAACAAAUCGGAGAUGGCUACAUAAUAAACUUCUACUCCAUGCAGUCGUUGGGAGGACCAUGCGCCAAAUUAAACAGUUGACAAAGGGACUGAAAGAUGUGAUGGUAUGGCCCCUGCUGACAUCUAGGCCAGAUGUUGUCCCACUUCCUUUCCCCAAAAUGGCUGAAAUGCAGUUCACACCCCAGAUGCUCCUAGAAAAAUCACAUGGCCAGUUGAGGACAGUGAUGAUGAAGACUUUGACUUGGACACCACCUGCCGCUUCACUGGCUUUCUAAGGAUGUUCAUUGAAACAGCUUCAUCAGGUACCCUGGCCCAGCUGCUGACAUUCUGGGUUGGCUGGGAGAUGCUUCCUCCUGAACUGACAGUGGAGAUUUCUGAGGGAACCCUUCCUAUGUCCUCCACAUGCUUUGAAACACUAAACCUGCCAUCCAUCCAUCCAUCCAUCGUCAAACCGCUUAUCCUGCAGACAGGGUCGCGGGGGGGCUGGAGUCCAUCCCAGCCAACUUUGGGCGAUAGACCGGGUACAUCCUGGAUUGGUCGCCAGCCAAUCGCAGGGCUAACACAGAGACAUACAAUCAUUCACACUCACACAUCUACGGGCAAUUUAAAGUCCCCAAUUAACCUGAUCCCCAGAGCAUGUCUUUGGACUGUGGGAGGAAGCCGGAGUACCCGGAGAGAACCCACGCAGACACGGGGAGAACAUGCAGACUCCACACAGAAAGGCCACUGGGCAGAGUCAAACCCAGGACCUUCUUGCUGUGAGGCGACAGUGCUAACCACCACGCCACCGUGCCGCCUAAACCUGGCAGCUCAUUUCAAAAUCUACAUGGACUUUGAGAAAGCACUUGUCGCUGCUAUAAAAAGUACUGGAUUUGGGCUUGUUUAAGUUUUUUCAGACAGAUGUCAAUUAGGGCAGGGCAAUAUUUCAAUAUUAUAUCUAUUGUGAUUUUGAAGCGUAAUAUUGUUACAUGGUAAGUUUAGUCUUUUCCUGGUUUCAAAGGCUGCAUUACAGUAAAGUGUCAUUUUCUGAAUUUACCAGACUGUUCUAGCUGUUCUAUUAUUUGCCUUUAACCACUUAGUCAUUAUAUGCACAUUAUGAUGGUUAUUUUUCAGAAAUUUAAAUGUGGAAGAUAUUUUGUGAAUGAAUCAAUUGUCAACCAUACAAUAUCGUCAUUGAGGUGUUUGGUCAAAAAUAUUGUGAUAUUUGAUUUUCUCCAUAUUGCCAGCCCUAAUGUCAAUGCCUACACUGUUCAGAUGAAUUGACACAAGUUCAGUGUCUUUGAAAACUUUGAUUAACACACUGUGCACAGUAGUUGACUUUUUAUUUUAUUUUUAUUCUGCACAU